UAAAAGCUCCAUGCAAAUACGCAGUCAACGUCAAAAAGUUGUGUUAUAAAAUGGUAGCUAUAAAAGACUGUAUUGCUUUUGUAACCGAAAAAUUCAGUCAUUAGUACCCACAGGCUGUUCAUUCAGUACCAGAAAUAGUCAGCGUUCCUAAUUAUACUUUUGGAAAACAGUUAAUCUUCUACAAUGCUGCCCGCAGUUUUAGAGCUGAGGAGAUAGAAACCUGGAGACAUUUAAGGACUUGGGCAAUGCUGGCAACAUAGUAGAAGAAGACUCAAAUGCAUACCUUAAAGAAAUCAAAGAAACCCAUCAACUUGGCUUUUCCAAGCUCCUUUUCUUUCUCUUGGAAAAAG
Long non-coding RNA from Homo sapiens (human), 350 nucleotides. RefSeq lists it as uncharacterized. The record is from RefSeq and is a predicted model, not a curated record. The transcript is spliced from 3 exons. Lineage: Eukaryota; Metazoa; Chordata; Mammalia; Primates; Hominidae.